GGGUGAGUAACACGUGAGUAACCUGCCCUUGACUUUGGGAUAACUUCAGGAAACUGGGGCUAAUACCGGAUAGGAGCUCCUGCUGCAUGGUGGGGGUUGGAAAGUUUCGGCGGUUGGGGAUGGACUCGCGGCUUAUCAGCUUGUUGGUGGGGUAGUGGCUUACCAAGGCUUUGACGGGUGGCCGGCCUGAGAGGGUGGCCGGCCACAUUGGGACUGAGAUACGGCCCAG
Molecule: ribosomal RNA, 229 nt
Filed under: uncultured Actinomycetales bacterium
Lineage: Bacteria; Bacillati; Actinomycetota; Actinomycetes; Actinomycetales
Description: partial 16S ribosomal RNA
Rfam family: Bacterial small subunit ribosomal RNA
Source: RNAcentral